Molecule: ribosomal RNA, 501 nt
Filed under: uncultured bacterium
Lineage: Bacteria
Description: partial 16S ribosomal RNA
Rfam family: Bacterial small subunit ribosomal RNA
Source: RNAcentral
AUUGAACGCUGGCGGCAUGCCUUACACAUGCAAGUCGAACGGUAGCACGGGUGCUUGCACCUGGUGGCGAGUGGCGAACGGGUGAGUAAUAUAUCGGAACGUACCUUAUUGUGGGGGAUAACGCAGCGAAAGCUGUGCUAAUACCGCAUAAUCCCUAAGGGGGAAAGCGGGGGACCGUAAGGCCUCGCGCAAUUAGAGCGGCCGAUACCUGAUUAGCUAGUUGGUGAGGUAAAGGCUCACCAAGGCAACGAUCAGUAGCUGGUCUGAGAGGGGGAUCGGCCACACUGGGACUGAGACACGGCCCAGACUCCUACGGGAGGCAGCAGUGGGGAAGUUUGGACAAUGGGGGCAAACCUGAUCCAGCAAUGCCGCGUGAGUGAAGAGGGCCUUCGGGUUGUAAAGCUCUUUUGUCAGGGAAGAAACAGCAGCUCUAACACAGUAUGCGAAUGACGGUACCUGAAGAAUAAGCACCGGCUAACUACGUGCCAGCCGCCGCCGUAA